UUAGUAGCCAAAGAAAUUAUCCGAUUUAGACCAUCUCAGUUACCUUGAGAAACUUAGUUGAGCUCUUUGACAAAAUCACAAUUUUGUUUGAGCAAAUCUCAGUACUUAUAUAGUCAUGUUUCAAUUAUGUUGCUUCUUUUUAUUGUCUAAUAGUGUGCCAUAGUAACUGCAUCUAAUAAUUUCUUCUGCAACAAAUGAUUUAGUUACACUUUUGUGCCAUGCCUGCAUAUUUUUAAACAGCAUAUACUGGGAUAAUCUUUAAGCAUAACCACCUUUACCUUCAAUUCAUUAAUGGCGUGUUCUCUUUCAUCUGAUAUCCUGAUGAGUGUACAUCUUCAUCUGAUCUCCCGAUGCUGCUACAUUAGUUUUUUGUUGUGGAUUUAGAUAUCUGGUGUCUCUAAUUAGGAGCUGUUGGAUAUCAUCCAAUAAUCUUGCACAGCGAGAUCGAAGCUAUUUAGUAAACUGAAACUGUCGCUGCAACAAUUCUUCUUGUGAUCAUUGCUCCUUGCCAAUUCAUCGAUCUGAGGUAUGGAAUAUUUCAACAUGGGCCCUGAUGCAUAGUUAUCCUCUGGCACUGCUAUUCCUCUGGCACGCUCCACAACCUCCACUUCUCUCGGUUGAGGGCGCAAUAAUGGAGAUAAAUAGUGACCAUGCUGCAGUUUAUCGACGUCGCCCAGAUCGACUCCAUUGCCUCUCACCAUCUCCAAAAUUUGUGGCCGAGCGCUCGCCAUCACCAGAGCUGCAGGGGUUCCUCGCCGCCUCAACCACCCACACCUUUCUCCAUCGGCGCGACGGCUUCAGAGCCUUCUCCAAAAUCUGUGGCAGAGCGCUCACCGAUGCCAGAGCCACAAUGCUUCCUUGCCGCCUCAAAAUCGGUUUGGUUUUAGUUUCAUUUCACGUCAAAGGUUGUCAUGACAUUUAUUCAUCGUUUGAUAAAUAUGUUGAAGUUGAACAUCUAGAGGAUGAUAACAAGUGUAACGAACCAUCUUUUAUGGUUCGUUAAGAUAAAAGUCCAGAGCAUGGACAUGACACAAGGUGAUGGUGAUGCAGCUACGUCGAUCAUGAUUCAUUUAGGAUUGAAUGAAGUUACUGGUGUGACCUUGUCGAGACUGAAGUAAGGAGGGAUAGAGCUAAAAACUCUCUUGACAAUCUUAGUGCCAACGUCUUCUGUGAAAGGAGGCAGCAUAUCAAUUGGAGGUUCUCUUCAGCUUCUUGGUUUCUGCACCUUUGAGGCUUGUGUUGGCAUAUUGGCCGUCAAUCAUGAAGAUGAGAUCUCAGUACAUUCCUGAGGAAGCGAGAAGCACAAUCAUGAACUUCUUCCGCAUACCACUCAACUUAUUUGUUUGUGUGGUGCUUUACAUCGUGAAUGCAUUCCCUAUCACUGUCAUGUUUGGGAUGUGUUCUAUCUUCCUCUUCAUGGCAGCCAUCUUGCUGCACAUGCAAGGGAGGAACCUGCUUAUAGAUAUGUUUCUUUACUAUCACAAUUAUUUGGUAAAAAGACAUUGUCUCCCACCCAACAUACACAUUCUACAACAUAUACUUGGAUCUGUGGUUGGUACUUAUGUAUUGGUAAAGCUGGCUGAUAUAAAUUCUUUUGUAUUUUACCAUUAUGGUGCCAUGUAGAAACCACUGGAUUAUAGGGAGAAAACUGUUAUUGCUUGCCUCCUUACGGGAUGACUCAUGGUACAACGUCAUUUGAAUACAUAUGGUCGACAAUGAAGUUUAGUAUUGAUUUCUGAAUCAUCAAAGGCUCGUGCAGUUGCCCAGCCUUGGUGCUCAACGUCAGAAAGAACUCACUUCUCGGUAGCGCGCUUGCCGAUUUUUGACGGCCAUAAUGGCAAAGAUGCUGCUCAAUAUGUCUGUGAUAACUUGCCAUGGGUCAUCAUGGAAGAUGAUGAUUUAUCUCUUGAGCUUAAAAAGGGUACUCCAUGUGUGGAAGAGUUCACCCCAAAAAAUUGUGAAAUGUUAUGCAACAAUACGAAGCUUGAUCUUGCUACUGUCGAGACCGAUGUUGAUGAGAAAGUCGAAGAUAAGGUAUGUUCUUAUGUGGAUCAACUUCUUGCAGCUAUGCGAGCCAAAGAUUCUACCAUGCACGUAUGUCGCCGCCGCGAGGGUCAUGUGCUAGCAGAUAUAAAUCUAUACAAAAGGUUUAACUCCCUAAUGCUAGCUUUGUUUGAGCGAUAUCCCCCUAAUGACGUAGUAUAUGCUAUUUGGUUGUUAUAUUUGAUUUUUGAACACACUGGUUUGGUGUAUUGCAACGGUUUCACAAGAUGUAGACAACGAUGUCACUUGCUUCCUUUCUCAUUACCACCAGAACAACCAUGUAAAUUCAGUUUGAUUUUUUUCAAACAUCCUGUGCAAAGGAACAAUAUAAAGCAAUAACCUUUGUGUUCUCAGGUUGAUGGGAGCAAAGUUUGUGAAUUAAAACAGUGGCCCAUCCUCUCCUUUGCAAGCUAUCUAAUUUAUAGUUAGAAUUUUGUUUGUUGGAGAGACCCAAGUGGUGUGCUUUACCCUUAGGUUCUUCCUCUUAUUUUGCCAAUUCUACUGAAGGAGUAUUCUCCUACACAAAUGUUUUACUAUUUGUAGUACUUAUUGAUCAUUGACAUUUUUUGUUGUUGUGCCAGGUAAUGCUAUAUGUGGAUAUGAAAGUCAAUGGUGUACAUUUGAAGGGAUACAAAAAUAAUUUCAUGUAUUAUCCAACAUCUUGCUCUUGCAUAUAACUACACCUUUACAUAUUGUCCGUGCGGCAAACAAAUAUAUUUUGUUGUUCAUAACCUUUUCCUCUCUAGCUCCUAGCCUAUAAUAGUUUUCUUACAGGUGUACUUUUGGAGUCUUCCAAGUUGUGCUGGGAACUAGGCAUACAGGAAAAGGAAGGAGCCUGAUGUAGAGAAGCAAAAGGAACCAAUUCUAGAGCAUGUCACAGUGUUACUUGCCAGUCAUUAUCACCUAAAAUUUACAACUCGCGAUGUGUUUCUUCCCUUUGAUUUAUUUGUAAGCAGGAAGCAUCUUUGUUGAAUACAACAAAUCAAGCUUGUGGGCUUUAUAAUGAAGCUGAGGUUUAGGAAAAGAUACAAUUUCUUAUUUGAUGAAGACUUUCCUGCUGAAAAAUAAAGACUCCAAAAAAUGAUUAAGAAAUCUAAGGACCAAGAUGCCAUUGGAGAAAUGAAGAGUCGUGUCACAUGGAUUGAUAAGCAGUUGAAGUCUCAUCCUCCAAAGAACGUUGAAUCGGAAAUCUUGCGUGAGCAUAUCAAGAAAGAGAGGGAGGCAGCAAAGGC
Long non-coding RNA from Zea mays, 3275 nucleotides. RefSeq lists it as uncharacterized. The record is from RefSeq and is a predicted model, not a curated record. The transcript has 15 exons. NCBI's taxonomy places the organism in Eukaryota, Viridiplantae, Streptophyta, Magnoliopsida, Poales, Poaceae.